UAUAUUGAGAGUUUGAUCCUGGCUCAGGAUAAACGCUGGCGGCGCACAUAAGACAUGCAAGUCGAACGAACUUAACCAUUAGUUUACUAUUGGAGCGGUUAGUGGCGGACUGGUGAGUAACACGUAAGCAACCUGCCUAUCAGAGGGGAACAACAGUUAGAAAUGACUGCUAAUACCGCAUAUGCCUUAGAAUCACAUGGUUCAAAAGGGAAAGGAGCAAUCCGCUGAUAGAUGGGCUUGCGUCUGAUUAGCUAGUUGGUGGGGUAACGGCCUACCAAGGCGACGAUCAGUAGCCGAACUGAGAGGUUGAACGGCCACAUUGGGACUGAGAUACGGCCCAGACUCCUACGGGAGGCAGCAGUCGGGAAUAUUGCGCAAUGGAGGAAACUCUGACGCAGUGACGCCGCGUGCAGGAAGAAGGUUUUCGGAUUGUAAACUGCUUUAGACAGGGAAGAACAAAGACAGUACCUGUAGAAUAAGCUCCGGCUAACUACGUGCCAGCAGCCGCGGUAAUACGUAGGGAGCGAGCGUUAUCCGGAUUUAUUGGGUGUAAAGGGUGCGUAGACGGGAAGUCAAGUUAGUUGUGAAAUCCCUCGGCUUAACUGAGGAACUGCAACUAAAACUGAUUUUCUUGAGUACUGGAGAGGAAAGUGGAAUUCCUAGUGUAGCGGUGAAAUGCGUAGAUAUUAGGAGGAACACCGGUGGCGAAGGCGACUUUCUGGACAGAAACUGACGUUGAGGCACGAAAGUGUGGGGAGCAAACAGGAUUAGAUACCCUGGUAGUCCACACCGUAAACGAUGGAUACUAGGUGUAGGGGAUAUUAAAAUUCUCUGUGCCGCCGCUAACGCAAUAAGUAUCCCACCUGGGGAGUACGGCCGCAAGGUUGAAACUCAAAGGAAUUGACGGGGGCCCGCACAAGCAGUGGAGUAUGUGGUUUAAUUCGACGCAACGCGAAGAACCUUACCAGGGCUUGACAUAUAAGUGAAUAAUUAAGAGAUUAGUUAGCUCUUCGGAGCACUUAUACAGGUGGUGCAUGGUUGUCGUCAGCUCGUGUCGUGAGAUGUUGGGUUAAGUCCCGCAACGAGCGCAACCCCUGUUUCCAGUUGCCAGCACAUAAAGGUGGGGACUCUGGAGAGACUGCCGGUGAUAAAUCGGAGGAAGGUGGGGACGACGUCAAAUCAUCAUGCCCUUUAUGUCCUGGGCUACACACGUACUACAAUGGCUAUAACAAAGAGAAGCGAGACCGCGAGGUGGAGCAAAACUCAAAAAAGUAGUCUCAGUUCGGAUUGUAGACUGAAAUUCGUCUACAUGAAGCUGGAAUUGCUAGUAAUGGCAGGUCAGCAUACUGCCGUGAAUACGUUCCCGGGCCUUGUACACACCGCCCGUCACACCAUGAGAGUUGGGAAUACCCGAAGCCUGUUCACCUCCUUUCUAAGGAGAAACAGAUCUAGAUGGAUUCAUUGUUUAUUUUUCAAUGUACUUUAAAUAGUACAUUGAAAGUUUACCAUAUCCUAA
This 1516-nucleotide ribosomal RNA is filed under the name Clostridium sp. RNAcentral's name for it is "bacterial SSU rRNA". It matches the Rfam family "Bacterial small subunit ribosomal RNA". Lineage: Bacteria; Bacillati; Bacillota; Clostridia; Eubacteriales; Clostridiaceae. The record is from RNAcentral.